CUGUGUGGGUGCCCGGGCCGUAUGUGGCCUGGCCGGCCCUGACGCUCUCUGAGCCCUAGGAUCGUGUGUGAGAUGGAGGAGUCGCUGGUGCCCAGCCCGCCGCCGGGGCCCGUGGAGCUGUGUGUGGGUGACUGUUCAGCCGACUUCCGCACGCAGUCGGAGCAGGUCUACAGCUUUGUGACCCCAACGUUUGACCAAGUGAGUCCCAGCCGUGGCCCGGCGUCCGGGGGCACACGGCUUACCAUCUCAGGCAGCUCUCUGGAUGCUGGCAGCAGGGUCACAGUGACUGUGAGGGACAGCGAGUGCCAGUUUGUAAGGAGAGAUGCCAAGGCGAUCGUGUGCAUCUCACCUGUCUCCACCCUGGGCCCCAGCCAGGCCCCCAUCACACUUGCCAUUGACCGGGCUAACAUCUCCAGCCCCGGGGUCAUCUACACCUACACUCAGGACCCCACCGUCACCC
RNAcentral lists this small RNA (460 nucleotides) under Pan troglodytes (chimpanzee). RNAcentral's name for it is "retained intron". Lineage: Eukaryota; Metazoa; Chordata; Mammalia; Primates; Hominidae. The record is from RNAcentral.